RNAcentral lists this ribosomal RNA (440 nucleotides) under uncultured bacterium. RNAcentral's name for it is "partial 16S ribosomal RNA". It matches the Rfam family "Bacterial small subunit ribosomal RNA", at positions 338 to 795 of the family's 1533-position model. The record is from RNAcentral.
CCUACGGAGCGCAGCAGUAGGGAAUAUUGCUCAAUGGGGGAAACCCUGAAGCAGCAACGCCGCGUGGAGGAUGAAGGUUUUCGGAUUUUAAACUCCUUUUGUUAGAGAAGAUAAUGACGGUAUCUAACGAAUAAGCACCGGCUAACUCCGUGCCAGCAGCCGCGGUAAUACGGAGGGUGCAAGCGUUAAUCGGAAUCACUGGGCGUAAAGAGCGCGUAGGCGGGAUAGCAAGUCAGAUGUGAAAUCCUAUGGCUUAACCAUAGAACUGCCUUUGAGACUGUUAUUCUAGAGUAUGGGAGAGGUAGGUGGAAUUCUUGGUGUAGGGGUAAAAUCCGUAGAGAUCAAGAGGAAUACUCAUUGCGAAGGCGACCUGCUAGAACAUAACUGACGCUGAUGCGCGAAAGCGUGGGGAGCAAACAGGAUUAGAUACCCGAGUAGUC